CUCGCGGAGGUCUUUCCUCCUGGCUGAUGUUAGCGAUGUGUCAGCAUUAAGCUCGGCCUGCCUGCUAGGCCGCGGUGGCGACCAGCCGAGCCUGGCCCGAAGCCAGACCAGACAUGUCUUGGCACCAGACAACAGAGACGUGACGGGACGGGACCAAGGAUUGGCAGAAAAAUAUGAUCGUGCAGUAUUGCUGAUCCAUAUUACCACCAAAGUACACAGGAAUGUUUAUUAUGCAUAUUCCUUAAGGGAUAAUAACUUGAGAUUUUCCGCCUCUUUUUUCCCUUUCUUUUGGAUUCAACAGUGUACUCUGAAGGGAGAAAGAAACAGCGGGAGGAAGCAGCGGAUGAAAGAAGACAUCCACAAAGAUCCCGCGUCCGACUCCAAACGUGGAAGUCGUAGUUACAUGUGCUUGUUGGGGUCAAAGGCUGAAGGCUGGUGAGUGGUGACCUUAGGGAGAGGCCUGGGUGCGAUCUGACCCCUGAGUGGAUGUGCGGGCUGACUCUGGAGGAUGCAGCGCAACAAAGGGCGGCACGUGCCUCGUCGUCGUCACCAUGGUAACAUAGGACCUUUUUGGAACGGUAGGGGGGAGGGCGAGGUCAAAGCUUAGUCAUUAUUCUGAUCGGUGUUAACCGUCUGCUGCCAAUUUGGUUUUACAAAUAUAACAACGUGCCCAUCAAAGAACAGGGGGCGUGUGUGUGUGUGUGUGUGCGUGUGUGCGUGUGUUUUCUGCCUUGCGGGGAAAUAAAUCAGAUUACACAGUCAUAUGGAAGGGACCCACAUAUUUUUUUGGGACAAAAUACAUGUCCCCAUUACGUAAACCUUUACAAUUUAAGGUGAGGACUUGGUUAAUGUUAAGGGUUAUCUCCAGAUAAGAAAUCUCCAAGAAAGUGAUGUAAAUGUUAUAUCCCCAAAAGUGAAGAAUCUAAGGGCUGACUG
This is a long non-coding RNA of Gasterosteus aculeatus aculeatus (three-spined stickleback), 936 nucleotides long. NCBI's taxonomy places the organism in Eukaryota, Metazoa, Chordata, Actinopteri, Perciformes, Gasterosteidae. The record is from Ensembl.